UACGUGAGGGGCGAACGUUGUUCGGUGUCACUGGGCUUAAAGGGUGCGUAGGUGGUUGCGUAAGUAACGUGUGAAAUCCCUCGGCUUACCCGGGGAAUUGCGCGUUAUACUGCGUGACUUGAGGAUUUCAGGGGAAUGGGGAACUCCAGGUGUAGCGGUGAAAUGCGUAGAUAUCGUAAGGAAGACCAGUGGCGAAGGCGGGUCUCUGGACAGUUCCUGACGCUGAGGCACGAAGGUCAGGGGAGCAAACGGG
Molecule: ribosomal RNA, 253 nt
Filed under: uncultured bacterium
Lineage: Bacteria
Description: partial 16S ribosomal RNA
Rfam family: Bacterial small subunit ribosomal RNA
Source: RNAcentral